Molecule: ribosomal RNA, 921 nt
Filed under: uncultured bacterium
Lineage: Bacteria
Description: bacterial SSU rRNA
Rfam family: Bacterial small subunit ribosomal RNA
Source: RNAcentral
AGAGUUUGAUCAUGGCUCAGGACGAACGCUGGCGGCGUGCUUUACACAUGCAAGUCGAACGAUGAAGUUCCUUCGGGAAUGGAUUAGUGGCGAACGGGUGAGGAACACGUGAGAAAUCUGCCCUUCAUUUUGGGAUAACUCCGGGAAACCGGGGCUAAUACCAAAUACUCCAUCCCGGUGGCAUCACUGGGCUGGGAAAGAAUUUCGAUGAAGGUUGAUCUCGCGGCCUAUCAGCUAGUUGGUGAGGUAAUGGCUCACCAAGGCAACGACGGGUAGCCGGCCUGAGAGGGCGACCGGCCACACUGGGACUGAGACACGGCCCAGACUCCUACGGGAGGCAGCAGUGGGGAAUAUUGGGCAAUGGGCGCAAGCCUGACCCAGCGACGCCGCGUGAGGGAUGAAGGUCUUCGGAUUGUAAACCUCUUUCAGUGGGGAAGAAGCGAAAGUGACGGUACCCAAAGAAGAAGCACCGGCUAACUAUGUGCCAGCAGCCGCGGUAAUACAUAGGGUGCAAGCGUUGUCCGGAAUUAUUGGGCGUAAAGAGCUCGUAGGUGGUUUAUCACGUCGGAUGUGAAAUUCUGAGGCUCAACCUCGGACCUGCAUUCGAUACGGGCAAACUAGAGUGUGGUAGGGGAGACUGGAAUUCCUGGUGUAGCGGUGGAAUGCGCAGAUAUCAGGAGGAACACCAAUGGCGAAGGCAGGUCUCUGGGCCAUUACUGACACUGAGGAGCGAAAGCGCGGGGAGCGAACAGGAUUAGAUACCCUGGUAGUCCGCGCCGUAAACGGUGGGCACUAGUUGUGGGAACCUUCCACGGUUUCCGCGACGCAGCUAACGCAUUAAGUGCCCCGCCUGGGGAGUACGAUCGCAAGAUUAAAACUCAAAGGAAUUGACGGGGCCCCGCACAAGCAGCGGAGCAUGCG